CCGGCGACCGGCGCAAGGGUGCGUAACGCGUGAGCAACGAUGCCCGUAUCAGGGGGAUAAUCCAUGGAAACGUGGUACUAAUACCCCAUAGUAAUUAUGUAAGGCAUCUUAUAUAAUUUAAAGCUUUGGUGGAUACGGAUUGGCUCGCGUGACAUUAGCUGGAUGGUAAGGUAACGGCUUACCAUGGCUACGAUGUCUAGGGGUUCUGAGAGGAAGGUCCCCCCACACUGGAACUGAGACACGGUCCAGACUCCUACGGGAGGCAGCAGUGAGGAAUAUUGGACAAUGGAUGGAAAUCUGAUCCAGCCAUGCCGCGUGCAGGAAAAGACGGCCCUAUGGGUUGUAAACUGCUUUUGUAUGGGAGCAAUAAGGGCUACGUGUAGUCCGAUGAGAGUACCAUACGAAUAAGCACCGGCUAACUCCGUGCCAGCCGCAGC
This 437-nucleotide ribosomal RNA is filed under the name uncultured bacterium. RNAcentral describes it as "bacterial SSU rRNA". It matches the Rfam family "Bacterial small subunit ribosomal RNA", at positions 88 to 518 of the family's 1533-position model. The record is from RNAcentral.